UAGGGCGUUUUAGUAUCAUGAUGUAGACCCGAAACCUAGUGACCUAUCCAUGAGCAGGUUGAAGGUGCGGUAAGACGCACUGGAGGACCGAACCAGGACACGUUGAAAAGUGUUUGGAUGACUUGUGGAUAGCGGAGAAAUUCCAAACGAACUGGGAGAUAGCUGGUUCUCUCCGAAAUAGCUUUAGGGCUAGCGUCGCAAUUUAAGUGUAUUGGAGGUAGAGCACUGUUUGGAUGAGGGGCCCAUCUCGGGUUACCAAUUUCAGAUAAACUCCGAAUGCUAAUACACAUGUGCGGCAGUCAGACUGCGAGUGCUAAGAUCCGUAGUCGAAAGGGAAACAGCCCAGACCACCAGCUAAGGUCCCAAAAUAUAUGUUAAGUGGAAAAGGAUGUGGGGUUGCACAGACAACUAGGAUGUUAGCUCAGAAGCAGCUAUCAUUCAAAGAGUGCGUAAUAGCUCACUAGUCGAGUGACCCUGCGCCGAAAAUGUACCGGGGCUAAACAUAUUACCGAAGCUGUGGAUUUAAUAUUAAUUAAAUGGUAGGAGAGCGUUGUAAUCAGCGAUGAAGGUAUACCGUGAGGGGUGCUGGAGCGAUUACAAGUGAGAAUGCCGGUAUGAGUAGCGCAAGAUAAGUGAGAAUCUUAUCCACCGUAAGACUAAGGUUUCCAGGGGAAGGCUCGUCCGCCCUGGGUUAGUCGGGACCUAAGGCGAGGCCGAAAGGCGUAGUCGAUGGACAACAGGUUGAUAUUCCUGUACUAGUAUUGUUAGUGAUGGAGGGACGCAGUAGGCUAAAGGGAGCCAGUUAAUGGAUUCUGGUCUAAGCAGUGAGGUGUGGAAUGU
This 840-nucleotide ribosomal RNA is filed under the name Lactococcus formosensis subsp. bovis. RNAcentral describes it as "Lactococcus garvieae subsp. bovis partial 23S ribosomal RNA". It matches the Rfam family "Bacterial large subunit ribosomal RNA", at positions 688 to 1534 of the family's 2925-position model. The record is from RNAcentral. Lineage: Bacteria; Bacillati; Bacillota; Bacilli; Lactobacillales; Streptococcaceae.